GAUGAACGCUGGCGGCGUGCCUAAUACAUGCAAGUCGAGCGAACGGACGAGAAGCUUGCUUCUCUGCUGUUAGCGGCGGACGGGUGAGUAACACGUGGAUAACCUACCUAUAAGACUGGGAUAACUUCGGGAAACCGUAGCUAAUACCGGAUAAUAUUUUGAACCGCAUGGUUCAAAAGUGAAAGACGGUCUUGCUGUCACUUAUAGAUGGAUCCGCGCUGCAUUAGCUAGUUGGUAAGGUAACGGCUUACCAAGGCAACGAUGCAUAGCCGACCUGAGAGGGUGAUCAGCCACACUGGAACUGAGACACGGUCCAUACUCCUACGGGAGGCAGCAGUUGGGAAGCUUCCGCAAUGGGCGGAAGCCUGACGGAGCAACGCCGCGUGAGUGAUGAAGGUCUUCGGAUCGUAAAACGCUGUUAUUAGGGAAGAACAUAUGUGUAAGUAACUGUGCACAUCUUGACGGUACCUAAUCAGAAAGCCACGGCUAACUACGUG
This 497-nucleotide ribosomal RNA is filed under the name uncultured bacterium. RNAcentral describes it as "partial 16S ribosomal RNA". It matches the Rfam family "Bacterial small subunit ribosomal RNA", at positions 28 to 507 of the family's 1533-position model. The record is from RNAcentral.